GGGAAUCCUGUGCCUAGAGACAAUGAGGGGCUGGGAAAACUAACACGACAAUGGGAGGAGACUCCCCCCAAGGCCUUGUUCUAAAGAGCUGGGCAAUUUCAUUGGGAAGUUAAAAGUGUACGCCGAUCAACACUAAGGCUACUACCAGGAAGAACUGUGACAUGGAGUUGCAAAGAAGCAGAAGAUGCCAGGAGGCAGGAACAACUGGGAGAGGAAGUCAGGAAGGGUAUCUGCAAGAACGGAGCUAAAUGAGCCAAUGAGAUUUGAGGAGAAACAUGUAAGGAAAAUGUUGCCGUUGUAUGCUAAUAGGACUGUAGUCAUCUAAUCCUGGUGCUUUUCCCAGCAAAGACUUGUGUCUGAAGAUGUUUAAUCUAGAGGAAACCAAGGUUACAAAAUCUUAAACGUUUUGUAAACUUUUGGUCCAUUCAUAAUGAAUGAGGGAGAUGUGGCUCUUCAACUCUAAGGCCCUAUUUGGCAUGGCUCCAACUCCUGGUGGAGCUGCUCCACUCCUGAACUCCACAUGGAGCCAGCUCCGCUCCAAAACUCCAGAACAAAAAUGGGGUGUUUGGCUAGAUGGGUGCUCUCAGCUCCAAAAAAGAUCGAUUUCAGUGUGGAUUGCCAUUGUUGCCCCCUAAUUAAGGUCCCACUUGUCAUCCUCUCUAUCCCAUCUUCUUCUUCCCCUUUUUCCACUGCACUGUGCUGCACACGGGAGACCCUCCACGGGCGGCGGGGUGGGUGGCGGGCUGGGUGGCGACGGGCGGCGGGCUGGGCAGCGGGCUCGACGGCGGGCGGCGACGGGCGAUGACGGGCGAUGACGGGCGGCGGGCGGCGACAGGCGGCGGGCAGCGGGUGCGGCGACGGGCGGCGACGGGCGGCGGGCGGCGACAGGCGACGACAGGCGGCGGGCAGCGACAGGCGACGACAGGCGGCGGGCGACGGGUGCGGCGACGGGCGGCGGGCGGCGACAGGCGACGACGUGCGACGACAGGCGGCGGGCGGCGACGGGUGGCGGGCGAUGACGUGCGACGACAGGCGGCGACGGGCGACGGGCGCGGCGGCGAGCGACGACAAGCGGCGGGCGGCGACGGGUAGCGGGUGGCGACGGGCGAUGGGGGCGGCGGCGGGCGGCGACGGGCGGCGAGGCCGGCCGGCCACGGGGGCGGCGACGGGCGGGGCUCUGGCGGCGAGUGGGGCUCGAGAGAAUAGAAGGGAGAAUAGAAUGAAACGUUUUUUGUGUAACCAAUGGCAUUGGUGGGUAAUUACCCACCAACUCCACGAGGAGGUUCAAAAGAGAGGUUUCUGAAGCAGCAAAAGAGGUGCUCCAAAACUCCACCUCCAUUUGCACUACAGCUCCAUGGAGUUGGCAACUCCAUGGAGUUUUGGAGUUGGGGUGUUUGGCUGAAUUUUUUGAUGGAGUUGCUGGAGUUUAGGAGUGGAGCCGUGCCAAACAGGGCCUAAAUAUAGAGGUACCAACUUGAAUAGCUGCAUAUACAGAUCCUAAGUAUCUUCACCAUCGACAUAAAUAGUCUAUUGAUGAAAUAAAAGGAUAUCCAAAGAAUUAUGUUAAAGGCCCUUCAUGCUAAAGGAACUUUGCAUGCCUUAGAGUCAGAGCUUUUUUGCCUUUUUUAUCAAAAUGGGAGUUGGGUAAAGCAAACUCCCUCCUUGGAUGAGCACUGGCUUAGUCAAGUAGAAC
Molecule: long non-coding RNA, 1693 nt
Filed under: Setaria italica (foxtail millet)
Lineage: Eukaryota; Viridiplantae; Streptophyta; Magnoliopsida; Poales; Poaceae
Description: long non-coding RNA (SITA_LNC007254)
Source: RNAcentral